UCGAGAAUCUUCCGCAAUGCACGAAAGUGUGACGGAGUGACGCCGCGUGGGUGACUGAUAAGUCUUCGGAUUGUAAAACCCUGUCAGCUACUAAGAAACGCGGGCGAUGAAUAAUCGUCCCGCUUGACAAAGGUAGCAGAGGAAGCACCGGCUAACUACGUGCCAGCAGCCGCGGUAAUACGUAGGGUGCUAACGUUGUUCGGAAUCACUGGGCAUAAAGCGCGUGUAGGCGGUCCAUUAAGUCCUGUGUGAAAUCCCCCGGCACAACCGGGGAACGGCACAGGAUACUGUUGGGCUAGAGUGCAGGAGGGGAGAGUGGAAUUCCUGGUGGAGCGGUGAAAUGCGUAGAUAUCAGGAGGAACGCCGGUGGCGAAAGCGACUCUCUGGUCUGCCACUGACGCUGAGGCGCGAAAGCUAGGGGAGCAAACGGG
RNAcentral lists this ribosomal RNA (431 nucleotides) under uncultured bacterium. Its description in RNAcentral is "bacterial SSU rRNA". It matches the Rfam family "Bacterial small subunit ribosomal RNA", at positions 355 to 776 of the family's 1533-position model. The record is from RNAcentral.